This is a long non-coding RNA of Salarias fasciatus (jewelled blenny), 109 nucleotides long. RefSeq lists it as uncharacterized. The record is from RefSeq and is a predicted model, not a curated record. Lineage: Eukaryota; Metazoa; Chordata; Actinopteri; Blenniiformes; Blenniidae. The transcript has 3 exons.
AUCGGUGAUCGGUAUCAGUAAGUAACUAAAGGUUAGUACUGGUAUCCUCAAGUAGCUCAAGGUUAGUACUGGUAUUGGUACUCAGUAUCAGUACAUAGCUAAAGGUUAG